Molecule: non-coding RNA, 399 nt
Organism: Canis lupus familiaris (dog)
Lineage: Eukaryota; Metazoa; Chordata; Mammalia; Carnivora; Canidae
Source: the annotation of a RefSeq genome assembly
AAGGCAGGAUCAAUGAUGACCUCCACCAUGGCCUGGUCCCCUCUCCUCCUCACCCUCCUUGCUCACUGCACAGGGUCCUGGGCCCAGUCUGUGCUGAAUCAGCUGCCUUCAGUGUUAGGAUCCCUGGGCCAGAGAAUCACCAUCUCCUGCUCUGGAAGCACGAAUGACAUCGGUAUGCUUGGUGUGAACUGGUACCAAGAGCUCCCAGGAAAGGCCCCUAAACUCCUCGUAGAUGGUACUGGGAAUCGACCCUCAGGGGUCCCUGACCGAUUUUCUGGCUCCAAAUCUGGCAACUCAGGCACUCUGACCAUCACUGGGCUCCAGGCUGAGGACGAGGCUGAUUAUUAUUGUCAGUCCACUGAUCUCACGCUUGGUGCUCCCCCAGUGCUCUGGGCCUAG